CAAGUGUCAUCAAGGGAUAACUACUACAAGUAGAAGCACCAUUUUUGAUGGAACAAAACCCUUCAGGAAAGUAUACGUAUCACAUGUAACAUGUAGUGUAACAAAGUAUGAACAGUAAGGUUUUUACAUACAGUAGUACACAUAUUACAUACGUACAUAACUUUUUUUUACAGGAAUUUCCAACCAAGUUUGAUUAUGUACAUAUGUACAUGUUAUAAACCACUGUACGUAUGGUUACUGUAUGUAACUUACUAAACAUACAUAACAUGACUUAACUUUGAUACUUUUUUGGUACAUUCCAGAAAACCAGGACCCCCUCCAUGAUGCAGGCUAUGGGGCCACAUAAAACUUUGUCCAGGGUUACUACAUAACAUAGAACGACAACUGUAAACUAUGUACUACUGUACUAAAGAACCCCCUGAAUGAUGUAGGCUAUGGGGCCACAUAAGACUUUGUCCAUCCAGGGUUACAUUGAACGAGAACUUUAAACUAAAGAACCCCCUGAAUGAUGUAGGCUAUGGGGCCACAUAAGACUUUGUCCAUCCAGGGUUACAUUGAACGAGAACUUUAAACUAAAGAACCCCCUGAAUGAUGUAGGCUAUGGGGCCACAUAAGACUUUGUCCAUCCAGGGUUACAUUGAAAGACAACUUUAAACUAAAGAGCUACCAGACUGGGAUUUUAGUGUAUCAAGGAUCUAACAAAGUGUGCAAUGCAUGUGUAUACGUAUACAGUGACAGUGUUUAGUGUAUACCCUAAGGAUUAAGUGUAGUGUACAUUGUGCUUUUUAGUGUCACAAGAGUUUAAUAAAGAAUUAUACCUUCAAGAACCAUCCUUUGCCAUUGGAAUAACCACACUACACAUCAUGCAAUCUACUUG
Long non-coding RNA from Macrobrachium nipponense, 877 nucleotides. RefSeq lists it as uncharacterized. Lineage: Eukaryota; Metazoa; Arthropoda; Malacostraca; Decapoda; Palaemonidae. The transcript has 5 exons. The record is from RefSeq and is a predicted model, not a curated record.